ACUCUUUUCCUUUUCUCUGCAGGG
Molecule: microRNA, 24 nt
Filed under: Monodelphis domestica (gray short-tailed opossum)
Lineage: Eukaryota; Metazoa; Chordata; Mammalia; Didelphimorphia; Didelphidae
Description: mdo-miR-7274-3p
Source: miRBase by way of RNAcentral